CCUACGGGAGGCAGCAGUGAGGAAUAUUGGUCAAUGGACGCAAGUCUGAACCAGCCAUGCCGCGUGCAGGAAGACGGCCCUAUGAGUUGUAAACUUCUUUUGUACGAGGGUAAACGCAGAUACGCGUAUCUGUCUGAAAGUAUCUUACGAAUAAGGAUCGGCUAACUCCGUGCCAGCAGCCGCGGUAAUACGGAGGAUUCAAGCGUUAUCCGGAUUUAUUGGGUUUAAAGGGUGCGUAGGCGGUCGGAUAAGUUAGAGGUGAAAUUCCGAGGCUCAAAUGCGGAAUUGCCUCUGAUACUGGUAGGCUAGAGAGGAGUAGAGGUAGGCGGAAUGUGUGGUGUAGCGGUGAAAUGCUUAGAGAUCAUACAGAACACCGAUUGCGAAGGCAGCUUACCGGGCUACUACUGACGUUGAGGCACGAAAGCGUGGGGAGCAAACAGGAUUAGAUACCCUUGUAGUC
This 460-nucleotide ribosomal RNA is filed under the name uncultured bacterium. RNAcentral's name for it is "partial 16S ribosomal RNA". It matches the Rfam family "Bacterial small subunit ribosomal RNA", at positions 338 to 795 of the family's 1533-position model. The record is from RNAcentral.